RNAcentral lists this ribosomal RNA (512 nucleotides) under uncultured bacterium. RNAcentral's name for it is "partial 16S ribosomal RNA". The record is from RNAcentral.
GGAGUUAGCCGGUGCUUCUUCUGCGAGUAACGUCACAGAUGUAAGGUAUUAACUUACACCCUUUCCUCCUCGCUGAAAGUGCUUUACAACCCGAAGGCCUUCUUCACACACGCGGCAUGGCUGCAUCACGGGUUUCCCCCAUUGUGCAAUAUUCCCCACUGCUGCCUCCCGUAGGAGUCUGGGCCGUGUCUCAGUCCCAGUGUGGCUGAUCAUCCUCUCAGACCAGCUAGGGAUCGUCGCCUAGGUGAGCCUUUACCUCACCUACUAGCUAAUCCCACCUGGGCUUAUCCAUCAGCGCAAGGCCCGAAGGUCCCCUGCUUUCCCCCGUAGGGCGUAUGCGGUAUUAGCAGUCGUUUCCAACUGUUACUCCCCCACAAAUGGGCAAAUUCCCAGGCAUUACUCACCCGUCCGCCGCUCGUCAUCUUCAAAGCAAGCUUUUGAAAUGUUACCGCUCGACUUGCAUGUGUUAGGCCUGCCGCCAGCGUUCAAUCUGAGCCAUAAUCAAACUCUGA